UUGGAAAGAAGAAAAUUUUAGAGAGUACUGGAAUCUUUUUCCCCGAAAACAAUCCAGAAUGGCGGUUCUUCUUAUUUUCAGGUAAGUGUGUCUUUAAAACGAAGGUUCACGAAAAUCUUUCUUACUCUAGAAAUUUCAUCCUGUACACCGCCGUCUGAAGGAUCAAAACAGUCCUUGAUCCAAUUCCUAAAACCAGGAAUAAGUCAGGUAAGGUGCAGAUUAUGGGUAAGAAAAGAUGCACUUCACUAAAAUUAAACAAAAAAGAGAUUGAAACCAUCUCUCUGGAGAAGAAUUUGAUAGUAAAUUUUCUUGAUCAUAGAAACUUGAAUUAAUCCCAGAAGAAUGU
This 346-nucleotide ribosomal RNA is filed under the name Columbicola timmermanni. RNAcentral describes it as "partial 12S ribosomal RNA". Lineage: Eukaryota; Metazoa; Arthropoda; Insecta; Psocodea; Philopteridae. The record is from RNAcentral.